CGGUCCCGGGACCUGCGGUGUCUCCCAAUCCGGCGUCCCCGGCCGUUAGGCUGACUCGGUGCGCUCCGUCACGGAGGCCGCAUAGCCGACAGCCGUCGCACCCCAGGGAGCAAUUCCAUG
Molecule: small RNA, 120 nt
Filed under: Streptomyces sp. MP131-18
Lineage: Bacteria; Bacillati; Actinomycetota; Actinomycetes; Kitasatosporales; Streptomycetaceae
Description: Streptomyces-metH RNA
Rfam family: Streptomyces-metH RNA
Source: Rfam by way of RNAcentral